Molecule: non-coding RNA, 288 nt
Organism: Tupaia belangeri chinensis (Chinese tree shrew)
Lineage: Eukaryota; Metazoa; Chordata; Mammalia; Scandentia; Tupaiidae
Source: the annotation of a RefSeq genome assembly
AUGGUUACCAGGCUCCUUUGCUGGAUGAUUCUCUGCCUCCUGGGGGCAGGUCACACAGAUGUUGGGGUGUCUCAGUCCCCUAGGUAUAGAGUCACAGCGAGGGGACAGAAUGUAACACUCAGGUGUGAUCCAAUUUCUGGGUACAACUGCCUUUACUGGUACCAACAGACCUUGGGAAAAGGCCCAGAAUUUUCCCCUUAUUUCCAGAAUGAAUUUGUACCAGACAACUCUGGGCUGCUCAGUGAUUGCUUCUCUGCUGAGAGGCCUGAGGGCAUGUACACUACAUGA